RNAcentral lists this ribosomal RNA (397 nucleotides) under uncultured bacterium. RNAcentral describes it as "bacterial SSU rRNA". It matches the Rfam family "Bacterial small subunit ribosomal RNA", at positions 28 to 429 of the family's 1533-position model. The record is from RNAcentral.
GACGAACGCUGGCGGCGUGCUUAACACAUGCAAGUCGAGCGGUAAGGCCCUUUCGGGGGUACGACGAGCGGCGAACGGGUGAGUAACACGUGGGUGACCUGCCCUCAGCCCUGGGAUAAGCCUGGGAAACCGGGUCUAAUACUGGAUAUGACUCCAUGACGCAUGUUGUGGGGUGGAAAGCCUUGUGCGGCUGAGGAUGGGCCCGCGGCCUAUCAGCUUGUUGGUGGGGUGAUGGCCUACCAAGGCGACGACGGGUAGCCGGCCUGAGAGGGCGACCGGCCACACUGGGACUGAGACACGGCCCAGACUCCUACGGGAGGCAGCAGUGGGGAAUCUUGCGCAAUGGGCGAAAGCCUGACGCAGCGACGCCGCGUGAGGGAUGACGGCCUGGUGUAAC